Molecule: ribosomal RNA, 368 nt
Filed under: uncultured bacterium
Lineage: Bacteria
Description: bacterial SSU rRNA
Rfam family: Bacterial small subunit ribosomal RNA
Source: RNAcentral
AACGAACGCUGGCGGCAGGCCUAACACAUGCAAGUCGAACGCUCCGCAAGGGAGUGGCGCACGGGUGAGUAACACGUGGGAACCUACCUUCUGGUACGGAACAACCAAGGGAAACUCUGGCUGAUACCGUAUACGACCUCCGGGUGAAAGAUUGAUCGCCGGAAGAGGGGCCCGCGUCCGAUUAGGUAGUUGGUGAGGUAACGGCUCACCAAGCCUGCGAUCGGUAGCUGGUCUGAGAGGANGACCAGCCACACUGGGACUGAGACACGGCCCAGACUCCUACGGGAGGCAGCAGUGGGGAAUAUUGGACAAUGGGCGCAAGCCUGAUCCAGCCAUGCCGCGUGAGUGAUGAAGGCCUUCGGUUGUAA